GUCAUGAUAGCUCAAGUGGGAGAGCAGCGGCGUAAUAAGCCGAAGGUCGUGGGUUCGAAUCCCGCUCGUGACA
This 73-nucleotide transfer RNA is filed under the name Cimex lectularius (bed bug). Its description in RNAcentral is "tRNA-Ile". It matches the Rfam family "tRNA". From Rfam's summary of the family: Transfer RNA (tRNA) molecules are approximately 80 nucleotides in length. Their secondary structure includes four short double-helical elements and three loops (D, anti-codon, and T loops). Lineage: Eukaryota; Metazoa; Arthropoda; Insecta; Hemiptera; Cimicidae. The record is from Rfam by way of RNAcentral.